CUUGGUAGGGUGCAAUGUGGUGUUUAGGAGAUGCCAUUCGCACCUUGAGCUCUGGUGUCCAAGUCCCCCUGACUGGGGCCAUCGCCCGUUGAGGGUGCAAGGCCUGUUGGGCAGGGCUGAGUCUCCUGAUCUCGGUGCGUAAGGCAUCUUCCUUGGAGUCGGGUUGCUUGAGAGUGCAGCCCAAAGUGGGUGGUAAACUCCACCUAAGGCUAAAUACUUGCCACGAGACCGAUAGCAAACAAGUACCGUGAGGGAAAGUUGCAAAGAACUUUGAAGAGAGAGUUCAAGAGUGCGUGAAACCGUUUGGAGGUAAACGGGUGGGAGCGCGAAGGUCGAACGGAUGGGGAGGGAUUCAACUUGGCGAGGUAGCUUACCAGGUGCUGGCAUGUCUGGGUGUGCACAUCCUCUUUUCUUCGAGAUUGGGGUUUGUUUGCCAUCCCGUGCUGCUGCCUGUGUGAUGUUUGCCCUGCCUUGUGCAUUUCCCUGUUCCCCCUCUCCUACUACGACGCUGCCACCUGUUGUUGAUGGGAUCACAAGAGCUUAAGUUAGAGAAACUGCUCACACGAGUAAGGGAUUAGUUCUCUGCGUCUGGUCUGUCUGUCUAUGUAAAGAUGAUUGUCGCUGACUGUUACGCCAGAGGAUGUUUAGUAGCCGAGCCGAGCCGUAUUGGUCCCUAGUCCUUUAACGUUCCCUAUAUCAGCCGGUGCGGGUCGACAAAUCCCCACGGGUGGCGGCGUGUGUCUUCAUACCUGUUGUAAUGAUUGCGUGUGAAGACUCCGCGUGUCAGGGUCUGUCGGUCAAGGUGCAGCCUCCGGUAAGGGGCACCGGGGGUCAGCAGCGACGUAUGGUC
Molecule: ribosomal RNA, 850 nt
Filed under: Pseudopolydesmus canadensis
Lineage: Eukaryota; Metazoa; Arthropoda; Diplopoda; Polydesmida; Polydesmidae
Description: partial large subunit ribosomal RNA
Rfam family: Eukaryotic large subunit ribosomal RNA
Source: RNAcentral